UUCUUUCCUGUCCUGACACAGGGUUUUCCUUUGUUACUUCAUGCUGCAAUGCAUUGGCCAGGGGAAGUCCUUAAGCCAGGGCAGACCCUCAUAGGCACCCGGGGCCCUAUCCUCUGACUCAGCAGUCUUUCAGAGGUUCACACUAAACACACACGACUGCCUAAAAAGCAAGGGCGUGAUAAGCAGAUGAAGUCAACAGUGUGGCCAUAUGCUAGACACCGGUAUCUGGUCACUAGUGCUCACUCAAUGCCCACUCAAAGAACAGAAGAGGCUGGCAUAGGAUGGAAGAGACAGAAAGAGAAAGCCAGCGAUCAUCUGCUACAGUGGCCCCCGUGGGGCUGAGGUUCCUUAAACACCAUGUCCACAGGGCCAAGGGACCUCUGAAAUAGCUGUUGUCUGGAGGACAGAAGACUCUGAGGACAGGGUGUGUGACCUCUCAAGGUCUCUGUGGUUGCCGAUUCCACAGGGACGCUGGUGGGAGUAAGCAAAGCCAUAGGAGUUGGCUUUCAUUUCCUAGUGAAGAGACAUCUAGAAAUGAUAAUGAUAUCCCCACUGUGUAAGAGCAGGACUUUCUUCUGUACCAAGCUGUCUGAACAACAGGCCAUUAGCAGGGAGAACAAACAGUUCCACUUAGCUCGGGACAUAGCAUUUACCUGCCCAUCGUGAAACAGCACAGCGUCGCUCCCGAACAGAGACCCUUACCUCAUUUGCUGUGUUGUGCGUUCCCACGAUUCGGAUGAAGGAGGCGGGCUGUCUUUCAAAAGUUACAGAUUGCCAGGACCUGUGAGCGGAAGCACAACCACGUGCCUGGUUAGAAGGUGUUCCAUCUUCUCUCUCACUAUGAGCCGCCCACUGAGACUGAUUCACUGCUGCCUGGACACCCAGGCCCCUUAAGGUCAAGGGAAGUGAGAGUUCCAUGCUGCGUGGGGCAGGAGACGCCCAUCCCCACUCCUAAGGGAGGCUACGGCACACACCAAGGCUGGGCCACCGCCUGCGUCUCAGGAAAGGGAGACACAGCCAGGACAAGGGACAGCAGCCACCGACAACUAUCGUGUUCAAGUCAGCUUCACAAAAGGACUGGGGUGCAGAGGGGCUGGGAGCGGCGGAGGUGGAGGCCGUGUUCUUAGAUUUCUAGCUGCGUGCCUACCCAGAAAAUCUUGGAGAGCUCCGGACACAAAGGUCCAACUCGGCACCUGUAAGCUCACGACGCCCAACAACACGCUUGCGGCUCCGAGGUGCGGGCGGAUCCGAACUGUGCCUCCUGCUCCCCCACAACACGCCCGGGAGCCAGGGCAGCGAAGGAAGGGAGGUCCGGCCGGGAGUGGCCUCGGGCAGAGCCAGGCUCCCGAGGAGGGCUGGGGGCUCGGGUCGCCUCCGCCCCUCGCCUGUGCUUGGGGACAGCAGCCUGAGCAGGAGGGAGCAUUUGUGGAGUAAUAAGAUCAGAAGGCCUCAAUUUAAUACCAAUCCUCCAUUACGCUGCAUUAAUAUCUAAUCACAUUAGAGUUCAUUUUCACUAACACAGCCUGAGAGCUGAAAGAUGAUUUCAUUUUCAGCAAA
Ailuropoda melanoleuca (giant panda) is the source of this 1557-nucleotide long non-coding RNA. RefSeq lists it as uncharacterized. NCBI's taxonomy places the organism in Eukaryota, Metazoa, Chordata, Mammalia, Carnivora, Ursidae. The transcript has 5 exons. The record is from RefSeq and is a predicted model, not a curated record.